GCAUGAGUUAUGUCAUGUUAUCGAUAUGUGAAUACAUAGCAUAUCAGAAGGCACACCCGGAGAACUGAAACAUCUUAGUACCCGGAGGAAGAGAAAGAAAAUUCGAUUCCCUUAGUAGCGGCGAGCGAAACGGGAAGAGCCCAAACCAACAAGCUUGCUUGUUGGGGUUGUAGGACACUCUAUACGGAGUUACAAAGGACGACAUUAGACGAAUCAUCUGGAAAGAUGAAUCAAAGAAGGUAAUAAUCCUGUAGUCGAAAAUGUUGUCUCUCUUGAGUGGAUCCUGAGUACGACGGAGCACGUGAAAUUCCGUCGGAAUCUGGGAGGACCAUCUCCUAAGGCUAAAUACUCUCUAGUGACCGAUAGUGAACCAGUACCGUGAGGGAAAGGUGAAAAGCACCCCGGAAGGGGAGUGAAAUAGAACCUGAAACCGUGUGCUUACAAGUAGUCAGAGCCCGUUAAUGGGUGAUGGCGUGCCUUUUGUAGAAUGAACCGGCGAGUUACGAUUUGAUGCAAGGUUAAGCAGUAAAUGUGGAGCCGUAGCGAAAGCGAGUCUGAAUAGGGCGUUUAGUAUUUGGUCGUAGACCCGAAACCAGGUGAUCUACCCUUGGUCAGGUUGAAGUUCAGGUAACACUGAAUGGAGGACCGAACCGACUUACGUUGAAAAGUGAGCGGAUGAACUGAGGGUAGCGGAGAAAUUCCAAUCGAACCUGGAGAUAGCUGGUUCUCUCCGAAAUAGCUUUAGGGCUAGCCUCAAGUGAUGAUUAUUGGAGGUAGAGCACUGUUUGGACGAGGGGCCCCUCUCGGGUUACCGAAUUCAGACAAACUCCGAAUGCCAAUUAAUUUAACUUGGGAGUCAGAACAUGGGUGAUAAGGUCCGUGUUCGAAAGGGAAACAGCCCAGACCACCAGCUAAGGUCCCAAAAUAUAUGUUAAGUGGAAAAGGAUGUGGCGUUGCCCAGACAACUAGGAUGUUGGCUUAGAAGCAGCCAUCAUUUAAAGAGUGCGUAAUAGCUCACUAGUCGAGUGACACUGCGCCGAAAAUGUACCGGGGCUAAACAUAUUACCGAAGCUGUGGAUUGUCCUUUGGACAAUGGUAGGAGAGCGUUCUAAGGGCGUUGAAGCAUGAUCGUAAGGACAUGUGGAGCGCUUAGAAGUGAGAAUGCCGGUGUGAGUAGCGAAAGACGGGUGAGAAUCCCGUCCACCGAUUGACUAAGGUUUCCAGAGGAAGGCUCGUCCGCUCUGGGUUAGUCGGGUCCUAAGCUGAGGCCGACAGGCGUAGGCGAUGGAUAACAGGUUGAUAUUCCUGUACCACCUAUAAUCGUUUUAAUCGAUGGGGGGACGCAGUAGGAUAGGCGAAGCGUGCGAUUGGAUUGCACGUCUAAGCAGUAAGGCUGAGUAUUAGGCAAAUCCGGUACUCGUUAAGGCUGAGCUGUGAUGGGGAGAAGACAUUGUGUCUUCGAGUCGUUGAUUUCACACUGCCGAGAAAAGCCUCUAGAUAGAAAAUAGGUGCCCGUACCGCAAACCGACACAGGUAGUCAAGAUGAGAAUUCUAAGGUGAGCGAGCGAACUCUCGUUAAGGAACUCGGCAAAAUGACCCCGUAACUUCGGGAGAAGGGGUGCUCUUUAGGGUUAACGCCCAGAAGAGCCGCAGUGAAUAGGCCCAAGCGACUGUUUAUCAAAAACACAGGUCUCUGCUAAACCGUAAGGUGAUGUAUAGGGGCUGACGCCUGCCCGGUGCUGGAAGGUUAAGAGGAGUGGUUAGCUUCUGCGAAGCUACGAAUCGAAGCCCCAGUAAACGGCGGCCGUAACUAUAACGGUCCUAAGGUAGCGAAAUUCCUUGUCGGGUAAGUUCCGACCCGCACGAAAGGCGUAACGAUUUGGGCACUGUCUCAACGAGAGACUCGGUGAAAUCAUAGUACCUGUGAAGAUGCAGGUUACCCGCGACAGGACGGAAAGACCCCGUGGAGCUUUACUGUAGCCUGAUAUUGAAAUUCGGCACAGCUUGUACAGGAUAGGUAGGAGCCUUUGAAACGUGAGCGCUAGCUUACGUGGAGGCGCUGGUGGGAUACUACCCUAGCUGUGUUGGCUUUCUAACCCGCACCACUUAUCGUGGUGGGAGACAGUGUCAGGCGGGCAGUUUGACUGGGGCGGUCGCCUCCUAAAAGGUAACGGAGGCGCUCAAAGGUUCCCUCAGAAUGGUUGGAAAUCAUUCAUAGAGUGUAAAGGCAUAAGGGAGCUUGACUGCGAGACCUACAAGUCGAGCAGGGUCGAAAGACGGACUUAGUGAUCCGGUGGUUCCGCAUGGAAGGGCCAUCGCUCAACGGAUAAAAGCUACCCCGGGGAUAACAGGCUUAUCUCCCCCAAGAGUUCACAUCGACGGGGAGGUUUGGCACCUCGAUGUCGGCUCAUCGCAUCCUGGGGCUGUAGUCGGUCCCAAGGGUUGGGCUGUUCGCCCAUUAAAGCGGUACGCGAGCUGGGUUCAGAACGUCGUGAGACAGUUCGGUCCCUAUCCGUCGUGGGCGUAGGAAAUUUGAGAGGAGCUGUCCUUAGUACGAGAGGACCGGGAUGGACAUACCUCUGGUGUACCAGUUGUCGUGCCAACGGCAUAGCUGGGUAGCUAUGUGUGGACGGGAUAAGUGCUGAAAGCAUCUAAGCAUGAAGCCCCCCUCAAGAUGAGAUUUCCCAACUUCGGUUAUAAGAUCCCUCAAAGAUGAUGAGGUUAAUAGGUUCGAGGUGGAAGCAUGGUGACAUGUGGAGCUGACGAAUACUAAUCGAUCGAAGACUUAAUCAA
RNAcentral lists this ribosomal RNA (2793 nucleotides) under Staphylococcus aureus. RNAcentral describes it as "partial 23S ribosomal RNA". It matches the Rfam family "Bacterial large subunit ribosomal RNA". RNAcentral also lists the same sequence under 4 other names. Lineage: Bacteria; Bacillati; Bacillota; Bacilli; Caryophanales; Staphylococcaceae. The record is from RNAcentral.